Small nuclear RNA from Sorex araneus (European shrew), 107 nucleotides. The record is from Ensembl. Lineage: Eukaryota; Metazoa; Chordata; Mammalia; Eulipotyphla; Soricidae.
GUGCUCGCUUCAGCAGCACAUAUACAAAAAUUGGAAGGAUACAGAAAAGAUUAACAUAGCCCCUAAGCAAGGAUAACACGCAAAUUCAUGAAGUGUUCCAUAUUUUU